UGCAAGUCGAGCGGGGGAAGGUAGCUUGCUACCUAACCUAGCGGCGGACGGGUGAGUAAUGCUUAGGAAUCUGCCUAUUAGUGGGGGACAACAUUUCGAAAGGGAUGCUAAUACCGCAUACGCCCUAAGGGGGAAAGCAGGGGAUCUUCGGACCUUGCGCUAAUAGAUGAGCCUAAGUCGGAUUAGCUAGUUGGUGGGGUAAAGGCCUACCAAGGCGACGAUCUGUAGCGGGUCUGAGAGGAUGAUCCGCCACACUGGGACUGAGACACGGCCCAGACUCCUACGGGAGGCAGCAGUGGGGAAUAUUGGACAAUGGGGGGAACCCUGAUCCAGCCAUGCCGCGUGUGUGAAGAAGGCCUUUUGGUUGUAAAGCACUUUAUGCGAGGAGGAGGCUACCGAGAUUAAUACUCUUGGAUAGUGGACGUUACUCGCAGAAUAAGCACCGGCUAACUCUGUGCCAGCAGCCGCGGUAAUACAGAGGGUGCGAGCGUUAAUCGGAUUUACUGGGCGUAAAGCGUGCGUAGGCGGCUUUUUAAGUCGGAUGUGAAAUCCCCGAGCUUAACUUGGGAAUUGCAUUCGAUACUGGGAAGCUAGAGUAUGGGAGAGGA
RNAcentral lists this ribosomal RNA (608 nucleotides) under Acinetobacter oryzae. RNAcentral describes it as "bacterial SSU rRNA". It matches the Rfam family "Bacterial small subunit ribosomal RNA", at positions 56 to 658 of the family's 1533-position model. Lineage: Bacteria; Pseudomonadati; Pseudomonadota; Gammaproteobacteria; Moraxellales; Moraxellaceae. The record is from RNAcentral.